UGGGGAAUUUUGGACAAUGGGGGAAACCCUGAUCCAGCCAUCCCGCGUGUGCGAUGAAGGCCUUCGGGUUGUAAAGCACUUUUGGCAGGAAAGAAACGUCAUGGGUUAAUACCCCGUGAAACUGACGGUACCUGCAGAAUAAGCACCGGCUAACUACGUGCCAGCAGCCGCGGUAAUACGUAGGGUGCAAGCGUUAAUCGGAAUUACUGGGCGUAAAGCGUGCGCAGGCGGUGCGGAAAGAAAGAUGUGAAAUCCCAGAGCUCAACUUUGGAACUGCAUUUUUAACUACCGGGCUAGAGUGUGUCAGAGGGAGGUGGAAUUCCGCGUGUAGCAGUGAAAUGCGUAGAUAUGCGGAGGAACACCGAUGGCGAAGGCAGCCUCCUGAGAUAACACUGACGCUCAUGCACGAAAGCGUGGGGAGCAAACAGG
RNAcentral lists this ribosomal RNA (429 nucleotides) under Acidobacteriota bacterium. RNAcentral describes it as "Acidobacteria bacterium partial 16S ribosomal RNA". It matches the Rfam family "Bacterial small subunit ribosomal RNA", at positions 355 to 776 of the family's 1533-position model. The record is from RNAcentral. Lineage: Bacteria; Pseudomonadati; Acidobacteriota.